UUUUCCCCCGGGGGAAACUAGCAUAUCAAUAAGCGGAGGAAAAGAAACCAACAGGGAUUGCCCCAGUAACGGCGAGUGAAGCGGCAACAGCUCAAAUUUGAAAUCUGGCCCUUACGGGUCCGAGUUGUAAUUUGUAGAGGAUGCUUUUGGCAAGGCGCCGCCCGAGUUCCCUGGAACGGGACGCCACAGAGGGUGAGAGCCCCGUCUGGCUGGCCGCCGAGCCUCUGUAAAGCUCCUUCGACGAGUCGAGUAGUUUGGGAAUGCUGCUCAAAAUGGGAGGUAUAUGUCUUCUAAAGCUAAAUAUUGGCCAGAGACCGAUAGCGCACAAGUAGAGUGAUCGAAAGAUGAAAAGCACCUUGAAAAGAGGGUUAAAUAGUACGUGAAAUUGUUGAAAGGGAAGCGCUUGUGACCAGACUUGGGCGCGGCGGAUCAUCCGGGGUUCUCCCCGGUGCACUUCGCCGCGUCCAGGCCAGCAUCAGUUCGUCGCGGGGGAAAAAGGCUUCGGGAACGUGGCUCCCUCGGGAGUGUUAUAGCCCGUUGCGUAAUACCCUGCGGUGGACUGAGGACCGCGCAUCUGCAAGGAUGCUGGCGUAAUGGUCACCAGCGACCCGUCUUGAAACACGGACCAAGGAGUCGUCUUCGUAUGCGAGUGUUCGGGUGUCAAACCCCUACGCGUAAUGAAAGUGAACGCAGGUGAGAGCUUCGGCGCAUCAUCGACCGAUCCUGAUGUUCUCGGAUGGAUUUGAGUAAGAGCAUACGGGGCCGGACCCGAAAGAAGGUGAACUAUGCCUGUAUAGGGUGAAGCCAGAGGAAACUCUGGUGGAGGCUCGCAGCGGUUCUGACGUGCAAAUCGAUCGUCAAAUAUGGGCAUGGGGGCGAAAGACUAAUCGAACCUUCUAGUAGCUGGUUUCCGCGAGUUUCCCUCCUCUAAAAAAA
This 936-nucleotide ribosomal RNA is filed under the name Trichoderma aethiopicum. RNAcentral describes it as "partial large subunit ribosomal RNA". It matches the Rfam family "Eukaryotic large subunit ribosomal RNA", at positions 24 to 980 of the family's 3401-position model. Lineage: Eukaryota; Fungi; Ascomycota; Sordariomycetes; Hypocreales; Hypocreaceae. The record is from RNAcentral.